GACGAACGCUGGCGGCGUGCUUAACACAUGCGAGUCGAACGGAAAGGCCCUGCUUUUGUGGGGUGCUCGAGUGGCGAACGGGUGAGUAAUACGUGAGUAACCUGCCCUUGACUUUGGGAUAACUUCAGGAAACUGGGGCUAAUACCGGAUAGGAGCUCCUGCUGCAUGGUGGGGGUUGGAAAGUUUCGGCGGUUGGGGAUGGACUCGCGGCUUAUCAGCUUGUUGGUGGGGUAGUGGCUUACCAAGGCUUUGACGGGUAGCCGGCCUGAGAGGGUGACCGGCCACAUUGGGACUGAGAUACGGCCCAGACUCCUACGGGAGGCAGCAGUGGGGAAUAUUGCACAAUGGGCGGAAGCCUGAUGCAGCAACGCCGCGUGCGGGAUGACGGCCUUCGGGUUGUAAACCGCUUUCGCCUGUGACGAAGCGUGAGUGACGGUAAUGGGUAAAGAAGCACCGGCUAACUACGUG
Molecule: ribosomal RNA, 468 nt
Filed under: uncultured bacterium
Lineage: Bacteria
Description: partial 16S ribosomal RNA
Rfam family: Bacterial small subunit ribosomal RNA
Source: RNAcentral